GAAAAGGCCACAGACCCAAAGGUCAUGUGCACAUGCUAGAAAGGAGAGAGUUUGGUACAUUGGGUAGGGUAAUAGAGCAUGUACGAUAUCUCUUCCACAUGCUGCUCAAUUAAUUGGAGGCUGAAUUAGAUCCCUGAGCUCUGGGAACAAACACCCUCUCAUCAUUCCCUUUUCAUACGACCCAUUAUUUACUAACAUU
RNAcentral lists this long non-coding RNA (199 nucleotides) under Vigna radiata. RNAcentral describes it as "long non-coding RNA (VRAD_LNC000487)". Lineage: Eukaryota; Viridiplantae; Streptophyta; Magnoliopsida; Fabales; Fabaceae. The record is from RNAcentral.